CAGUAACACGUGGAUAACCUGCCCUUGGNANNNGGAUAACCCCGGGAAACUGGGGAUAAUACCGGAUAACGCAUAUCUGCUGGAAUGCUUUAUGCGUAAAAUGGAUUUGUCUGCCCAAGGAUGGGUCUGCGGCCUAUCAGGUAGUAGUGGGUGUAAUGUACCUACUAGCCUACGACGGGUACGGGUUGUGAGAGCAAGAGCCCGGAGAUGGAUUCUGAGACAUGAAUCCAGGCCCUACGGGGCGCAGCAGGCGCGAAAACUUUACAAUGCGGGAAACCGUGAUAAGGGGACACCGAGUGCCAGCAUCAUAUGUUGGCUGUCCAGAUGUGUAAAAUACAUCUGUUAGCAAGGGCCGGGCGAGACCGGUGCCAGCCGCCGCGGUAACACCGGCGGCCCGAGUGGUGAUCGUGAUUAUUGGGUCUAAAGGGUCCGUAGCCGGUUUGGUCAGUCCUCCGGGAAAUCUGACGGCUCAACCGUUAGGCUUUCGGUGGAUACUGCCAGACUUGGAACCGGGAGAGGUAAGAGGUACUACAGGGGUAGGAGUGAAAUCUUGUAAUCCCUGUGAGACCACCUGUGGCGAAGGCGUCUUACCAGAACGGGUUCGACGGUGAGGGGCGAAAGCUGGGGGCACGAACCGGAUUAGAUACCCGGGUAGUCCCAGCCGUAAACGAUGCUCGCUAGGUGUCAGGCAUGGCGCGACCGUGUCUGGUGCCGCAGGGAAGCCGUGAAGCGAGCCACCUGGGAAGUACGGCCGCAAGGCUGAAACUUA
RNAcentral lists this ribosomal RNA (769 nucleotides) under uncultured archaeon. Its description in RNAcentral is "bacterial SSU rRNA". It matches the Rfam family "Archaeal small subunit ribosomal RNA", at positions 91 to 858 of the family's 1478-position model. The record is from RNAcentral.